CGCAAGAUCGCGAAAACAUAAGUUCAGAUUGUACAUAAAUUCAUCCAGGCAAAGGGUCUCUUAACAGCUUCAGUUUUAACACUUACAUACAGAAAACGUUCUGCAGGUUUUAAGUUUUGCAAAUAUCUAAUAACAUUUUUGCACUCAAAUCUUUUUCACAUGUAAAAAUGGUUCUUCCUGGUCCCAACUUCACAGACUUUCAGAGCCUUCAACUUCUGGUGUAAGCAUCAUCAACUAAUCGAUUCUGCAUCUGAGACGUUUAUAUGCAGCGUUGGAAGAACGUUUCUCCUACAUAUCCUCCAGACAUUGCCCUUCUGACAUUGGACUCGAACAAGCUGGGGUUGUCACUCAACACAGCAGCUGCUUCAUGAUUGAGGGGAUCCUCGUGAUUGGGUUCCGUGAACAAAUGAUACAAGCCAUAGAUUAUUGUGUUGAUGUUGAGCACAGGUUUCCAGUCUUCUCGAAGAAUGUUG
This 473-nucleotide unclassified non-coding RNA is filed under the name Hevea brasiliensis (rubber tree). The record is from RNAcentral. Lineage: Eukaryota; Viridiplantae; Streptophyta; Magnoliopsida; Malpighiales; Euphorbiaceae.